GCACCCUACCUUAUGGGAUAUCCUUAACACACUUGUACUCUAUUGACCAUUAGCAACUACUUAAAGAGUUCUUUUCUCAACAGCCUCUACUGCCCCUUUGCAAGAAAUGACAUGAGCAAAGUUGCUCUCAUCUAAAUUGGUGGCAAUUAUGCCAAAAGCCUUCUUUUCUCGUCUUUUGAACUCCUUAUGCUCCUUGAUGCUUGCCUCUACCCCAGGUGCCUCUUC
This 225-nucleotide long non-coding RNA is filed under the name Physcomitrium patens. RNAcentral describes it as "long non-coding RNA (PPAT_LNC010467)". Lineage: Eukaryota; Viridiplantae; Streptophyta; Bryopsida; Funariales; Funariaceae. The record is from RNAcentral.